Papaver somniferum (opium poppy) is the source of this 905-nucleotide long non-coding RNA. RefSeq lists it as uncharacterized. The record is from RefSeq and is a predicted model, not a curated record. Lineage: Eukaryota; Viridiplantae; Streptophyta; Magnoliopsida; Ranunculales; Papaveraceae. The transcript is spliced from 6 exons.
UUUCACUCUCUUUCAUCUCUUCUCGAUCUGCUCCGAAGAAGAACUUCAGCUCUGAAGAAAUCCAACCAGUAGUCACUUUUCUGCAAAUUUAGGAGGUGAAAGAGAAGUGCAAGGAAAUAGAAGAUGAUGAAUCAUAAAAAUUAAGUGAUCCCAUCUUAUUUUGUUGUUUUUCCAUUCAUUAUUAUUAGCUUUUUUAUCAUGAGUUCUGUAAUUCCAAUUUGGAAAAUCAGAUUGGAUGUAUGUGAUUCAUUUUACAGAGAAACUUUAAAGGGGACACUGCUAACAUAAGAAGAUUUAGUGGCGCUAGACUUGACAGAUAAAUUUGGUGCAUUUUAAACUCUCAAAGAACUUGUAGUGGUCCUACAUGACUGCCUUGCAGACAUCGAUUGGGACUCUUGUUUCCGAAAUUGCAAAAGCAUUAAAGGACCAAUCUUCUACCUCAAACUUGAAGAUCGAGGCUCUCAUCUUUACAGGAUUUGUUAUCUUUUCACAUUCACCAUCUGUUUUCCAUCCUUCUAUCAAGGUAUACUCUUAAUGUAUGGGAUAUUGGUGGGAAGAAAACCAUUAGGUCUUUUUGGAGGGAACAAACUGAUGGUUUUGUGUCUGUAGACAGAUAAUAAUCUUUUGAAGGAAGAGGAUAUCUGACAUGGAAAUGUGCAGGAAGGGUUCUGAUCUUCUACAGUAUCUUGUUCGGAUUGAUGAGGCAUUUAGGCAUUUCUGAUGCAGGAAGCGUUUGUUGCCGACAAGCAAAAUAGCACUCAAAUGCUUCAGCCACUAAUUGUAGUUAACAGAUGGUACACCGAUACACCAUUAACUGUAUAUGAACAUCUAAUUUCUAGUUUGUUUUUGGGAACGAGCUUGAAUCUAAUUUUUGACUGUGUGAAGUUGAUUUAAUGAUAAUUUUU